Hypanus sabinus (Atlantic stingray) is the source of this 140-nucleotide small nuclear RNA. RefSeq annotates it as U4 spliceosomal RNA. Lineage: Eukaryota; Metazoa; Chordata; Chondrichthyes; Myliobatiformes; Dasyatidae. The record is from RefSeq and is a predicted model, not a curated record. The transcript has a single exon.
GAAGUUGUGCAGUAGCAGUAUCGUAGCCGAUGAGGUUUACUCGAGGCGCGAUUAUUGCUUAUUGAAAACUUUCCCGAGAAUCUCCCGCAAACUGAUGGUGCUACCUCCCUGAAAUGAGUUUUUGCAGGCUGGGAUGUCUG